UGAAUGGCCGCGGUACCCUGACCGUGCUAAGGUAGCGUAAUCAGUUGGCUUUUAAAUGGAGUCAGGAAUGAAUGGGAAAACUGGGAUUAGCUGUCUCCUAAUUAUUAAAUUGAAUUUACUUUUUAAGUGAAAAAGCUUAAAUUUUGAAAAGGGACGAGAAGACCCUUAGAAUUUUUCUUAAAGAAUUUGGUUUCUAUAGUUUUAUUGGGGCGAUAAAGAAAUAUUAAAAACUUUCUAUAAAUUACAAGCCGAGUAUUUUAAGGAUGAAUAAAUUACCUGAGGGAUAACAGCAUAAUUCUACAGUUGAGUUUGUGACCUCGAUGUUGGACUAGGAAACUAGCAGGCUAGCCGUCUGUUGUGUGGGUUCUGUUCGAACUUUAAUUCCU
Molecule: ribosomal RNA, 386 nt
Filed under: Dicata odhneri
Lineage: Eukaryota; Metazoa; Mollusca; Gastropoda; Nudibranchia; Facelinidae
Description: partial 16S ribosomal RNA
Rfam family: Archaeal large subunit ribosomal RNA
Source: RNAcentral